CUGCAGCCCGAGUGGUGAUCGAUUUUAUUGAGCCUAAAGCGUCCGUAGCCGGACUAGUAAACCCUUGGGUAAAUUGGGCAGCUUAACUGUCCAAAUUCCGAGGGGACUGCUAGUCUUGGGACCGGGAGAGGUCAGAGGUACUCAAGGGGUAGGGGCUAAAUCCUGUAAUCCUUUGGGGACCACCAGUGGCGAAGGCGACUGACUAGAACGGAUCCGACGGUAAGGGACGAAACCCUGGGGCGCGAACCGGAUUAGAUACCCGAGUAGUCC
RNAcentral lists this ribosomal RNA (270 nucleotides) under uncultured archaeon. RNAcentral's name for it is "partial 16S ribosomal RNA". It matches the Rfam family "Archaeal small subunit ribosomal RNA", at positions 477 to 747 of the family's 1478-position model. The record is from RNAcentral.